AUAAAAACGAUGAUAAAGUCUUAGUAGUAAACUAAUGUAUGGGUUCAGCGAGUGUGUGGUUGGUGUGAACACAUCCCUAAUUAUUUAUGAAUUACAACUUUGGAGUUGAAUUAUUUCGGUUGUCGCCGUUAUCGACUUGAGGCAAACUUACUUGGUUUGUGAAUUAAGGUGGUACCACGGGUUAUCUCGUCCUUAUU
This 197-nucleotide non-coding RNA is filed under the name Cellulosilyticum lentocellum. Its description in RNAcentral is "Clostridium lentocellum T-box sequence". It matches the Rfam family "T-box leader". From Rfam's summary of the family: Uncharged tRNA acts as the effector for transcription antitermination of genes in the T-box leader family. T-boxes are found upstream of many aminoacyl-tRNA synthetase genes and some amino acid biosynthetic genes usually in Gram-positive bacteria. The record is from RNAcentral. Lineage: Bacteria; Bacillati; Bacillota; Clostridia; Lachnospirales; Cellulosilyticaceae.